This 343-nucleotide ribosomal RNA is filed under the name Anaerococcus sp. HMSC065G05. RNAcentral describes it as "bacterial LSU rRNA". It matches the Rfam family "Bacterial large subunit ribosomal RNA", at positions 2558 to 2925 of the family's 2925-position model. The record is from RNAcentral. Lineage: Bacteria; Bacillati; Bacillota; Tissierellia; Tissierellales; Peptoniphilaceae.
GUAGGUCCCAAGGGUUGGGCUGUUCGCCCAUUAAAGAGGCACGCGAGCUGGGUUCAGAACGUCGUGAGACAGUUCGGUCCCUAUCCAGCGUGGGCGUAAGAAAUUUGAGAGGAGCUGUCCUUAGUACGAGAGGACCGGGAUGGACGCACCAAUGGUGUACGAGUUGUUAGGCCACUAGCAUGGCUCGGUAGCUAAGUGCGGGAAUGAUAAGUACUGAAAGCAUCUAAGUACGAAGCAUGCCUCAAGAUAAGAUUUCUCAGAGUAGGUAAAGAAAAUACCUUAGAUAGGUCCAAGGUGUAAGUGCAGUAAUGUAUUAAGCUAAUGGAUACUAAACUUUAAAUCU